Molecule: non-coding RNA, 77 nt
Organism: Apodospora peruviana
Lineage: Eukaryota; Fungi; Ascomycota; Sordariomycetes; Sordariales; Lasiosphaeriaceae
Source: the annotation of a GenBank genome assembly
GCUCAGUUGGUGUAAUGGGCAACAUGGCGAUCUAUAAGUUUACAUCGCAGACGUGGGUUCAAAUCCCGCACUGGGAC